CGGGGUGUGGCGCAGCCUGGUUAGCGCGCGUGGUUUGGGACCACGAGGUCACCAGUUCAAAUCUGGUCACCCCGACCU
Molecule: transfer RNA, 78 nt
Filed under: Chloroflexota bacterium
Lineage: Bacteria; Bacillati; Chloroflexota
Description: Chloroflexi bacterium (sediment metagenome) tRNA-Pro
Rfam family: tRNA
About the family: Transfer RNA (tRNA) molecules are approximately 80 nucleotides in length. Their secondary structure includes four short double-helical elements and three loops (D, anti-codon, and T loops). Further hydrogen bonds mediate the characteristic L-shaped molecular structure. tRNAs have two regions of fundamental functional importance: the anti-codon, which is responsible for specific mRNA codon recognition, and the 3' end, to which the tRNAs corresponding amino acid is attached (by aminoacyl-tRNA synthetases). tRNAs cope with the degeneracy of the genetic code in two manners: having more than one tRNA (with a specific anti-codon) for a particular amino acid; and 'wobble' base-pairing, i.e. permitting non-standard base-pairing at the 3rd anti-codon position.
Source: RNAcentral